UGCCAGCCUCCAAAUAGAGCCACAUGCAACACAUCCAAUCAUAAAUGGCAUGUGAGGCUUAAGCCCGCCCCUGAAGCACUCUGGCCCAAUGAGCAUCCGGGCAGAGACUCUAAACCUCCCCCAUUCCACCUUGGUCUUCCUGCCUGGGACAUUGAGCAUGCUCAGACUUGAGGUCGUUAAGGAAAUGCUGAGGAGCUGCUGAGCCGUUGUGGAGGGGUCUGUGGAGUUCAUCUGGUGAGGGCAUUCCCAGGCCAGGGUGGCCAGGCUCAGGGUCUCCUCAGAGUCUGGACUUCCUCACAGCCCUGUUCUGGGAGGCUGAGGUGAAGACAAACCUGCCUUCUUGACAGCAGUCUCCUCUUAGACCAGGUCUAGUGAGGCCGUCUUCUCAGAGCCUGGAGACUCCUCACAGCCCAGUCUCAUGAGGCUGAGAUGCCCUCAGUGAAGAUCCAGGAUGGCAGGAUGCAGUUCUGAAAAAAAUUAUAGGCUUUCAUUCAGAUUAUUAUGGGCUUAACGUUUUCCAUAUUUCUUUACUUCAUCUUAGUACCUGUGGGAUCUGCAAUAUCCCCUUUCUCAUUCCUUAUAAAAUGAAACUCUGCUCUCUAUCUUCUACCAUACACAAGCUCUGCACCAAAUGUGCCAUAGACCAGAUACCCUGAAAAUGCCAAAGGACACAGUAGAGAAAAUACUCCCACUGCUAAGCACAGCGGAAUCUGGAAGAAGAGAAGUUAUAAAAUUGUCCCUCAGAGAUGCCCCUUUGCUGUCUCAGCCUGGAUGCCUGUGGCAACAGUUGCAGUAGGAACAGCCCACCUGGAAGUCUUCCUGUCAGCAUCACUGGAUCCUGGGAACCCACAGUUUCCUGCUCUUCACCAAGUUCUGGAU
This is a long non-coding RNA of Peromyscus leucopus (white-footed mouse), 879 nucleotides long. RefSeq lists it as uncharacterized. The record is from RefSeq and is a predicted model, not a curated record. The transcript is spliced from 3 exons. NCBI's taxonomy places the organism in Eukaryota, Metazoa, Chordata, Mammalia, Rodentia, Cricetidae.